UGAGGAAGAAAAGCAAGAAAGAGAAAA
This 27-nucleotide non-coding RNA is filed under the name Mus musculus (house mouse). The record is from RNAcentral. Lineage: Eukaryota; Metazoa; Chordata; Mammalia; Rodentia; Muridae.